GAUGAACGCUGGCGGCGUGCCUAAUACAUGCAAGUCGAGCGAACAGACGAGGAGCUUGCUCCUCUGACGUUAGCGGCGGACGGGUGAGUAACACGUGGAUAACCUACCUAUAAGACUGGGAUAACUUCGGGAAACCGGAGCUAAUACCGGAUAAUAUAUUGAACCGCAUGGUUCAAUAGUGAAAGACGGUUUUGCUGUCACUUAUAGAUGGAUCCGCGCCGCAUUAGCUAGUUGGUAAGGUAACGGCUUACCAAGGCAACGAUGCGUAGCCGACCUGAGAGGGUGAUCGGCCACAUUGGAACUGAGACACGGUCCAGACUCCUACGGGAGGCAGCAGUAGGGAAUCUUCCGCAAUGGGCGAAAGCUUGACGGAGCAACGCCGCGUGAGUGAUGAAGGUCUUCGGAUCGUAAAACUCUGUUAUUAGGGAAGAACAAAUGUGUAAGUAACUAUGCACGUCUUGACGGUACCUAAUCAGAAAGCCACGGCUAACUACGU
RNAcentral lists this ribosomal RNA (496 nucleotides) under uncultured bacterium. RNAcentral describes it as "partial 16S ribosomal RNA". It matches the Rfam family "Bacterial small subunit ribosomal RNA", at positions 28 to 506 of the family's 1533-position model. The record is from RNAcentral.